AAAAUCCGUCGACUUUAUACGUCGUGAGGGUUCAAGUCCCUCUAUCCCCA
RNAcentral lists this transfer RNA (50 nucleotides) under Rumex montanus. RNAcentral's name for it is "partial tRNA-Leu". Lineage: Eukaryota; Viridiplantae; Streptophyta; Magnoliopsida; Caryophyllales; Polygonaceae. The record is from RNAcentral.